This is a long non-coding RNA of Dendrobium catenatum, 582 nucleotides long. RefSeq lists it as uncharacterized. The record is from RefSeq and is a predicted model, not a curated record. NCBI's taxonomy places the organism in Eukaryota, Viridiplantae, Streptophyta, Magnoliopsida, Asparagales, Orchidaceae. The transcript is spliced from 2 exons.
GUUCAGCUGGAACUCUAGCUGUGAAAUGAGGCUCAUCCACUAUUCAAUUGCUAUUUUGACAGGUAUAGGGAAAGUGAUUUGGUAAAGCUGGAUAUUCGGAUUAAUGGUGAACCUGUUGAGCCAUUGGCUACAAUUGUUCACAAAGAUAAGGCAUAUGGUGUGGGCAGAGCUUUGACUGUAAAACUUAAGGAACUUAUUCCGAGGCAAAUGUUCAAAGUUCCUAUUCAAGUAAGGCCAAGUUCCUUGGUUAAGCAAAUCAGGCACCCUUCAUAUUUUGUGCCAAUUAUUUGGGCUGGAUUUGUGAAGCAUCCUAUUUCCAUUCCUUUGCGUGCUAUGUGAAUGUCUUAUUGAUACCAGCCCUCUAAGAAAAUUACAAAAAGACUUGCGCUAGGUGAUCCUCAUGUAUCGCUAAAAAAGAAUAGCAGUAGUAAUGACUGGAUCAUGUUGUUGGUUGCUUCUUUUGCUUAUGACAAGAAACAGCUGAAGAUAUUUUGUUCUUGGAACAAUUUUUUUUUUCUUCCUUUGAUUAGUUAACCUGCAUUACAAACAGUUGUAUCUAAAGCAUACUGUGAGAAAAAAAAA